UAUGUGAUCGUCUCUCGCAUAUCAAUAAGCGGAGGAAAAGAAACUAACAAGGAUUCCCCUAGUAACGGCGAGUGAAGCGGGAAGAGCUCAAAUUUGAAUCUUAAAGGGUUUCCCUUUACGAAUUGUAGUUUAAAGAAGUGUUUUCUGUUGAGGUUUUGGUAAAAGUUCUUUGGAAUAGGACAUCAUAGAGGGUGAGAAUCCCGUAUUUGACCUUUACUUUCAACUUUGUGAUACACUUUUCAAAGAGUCGGAUUGUUUGGGAAUGCAGUCCAAAAUGGGUGGUAAAUUUCAUCUAAAGCUAAAUAUUGGCGAGAGACCGAUAGCGAACAAGUACCGUGAGGGAAAGAUGAAAAGAACUUUGAAAAGAGAGUUAAACAGUACGUGAAAUUGUCAAAAGGGAAGCGUUUGACACCAGUGUUGUUUUUCUGAAAAUCAAUUAAAGAACUGUUUAUGCUAAGUUGUUUAGACUUUAUCAGCUAACUGUUUAGUUUUGAGCUUUUCUUUAAUGCACUUUUCAGUUAACAAGUCAACAUCAAUUUCUUUUGCUGUAAAAAAGCUUGAGGAAGGUGGCUUGAGAUUCGUCUUAAGUGUUUAUAGCCUCUUGCCUAUGCAGUCGGAGAGAUUGAGGUCUGCAGCGUAGAUCCUUCGGGGCUAAAUGCAUUUGUGCUAAGUUAUAACAUUUUAUAGACAACUUGUUGACUAUGAUUUGUCUUGUAGCUUACUCGCUUAUGUUAUUUUACCUACGCUUAGGAUGUUGAGUAGCGACAUACGCAC
This 774-nucleotide ribosomal RNA is filed under the name uncultured Neocallimastigales. RNAcentral's name for it is "partial large subunit ribosomal RNA". It matches the Rfam family "Eukaryotic large subunit ribosomal RNA", at positions 24 to 649 of the family's 3401-position model. The record is from RNAcentral. Lineage: Eukaryota; Fungi; Neocallimastigomycota; Neocallimastigomycetes; Neocallimastigales.